Molecule: non-coding RNA, 311 nt
Organism: Linepithema humile (Argentine ant)
Lineage: Eukaryota; Metazoa; Arthropoda; Insecta; Hymenoptera; Formicidae
Source: RefSeq, a predicted model, not a curated record
GAGACAUUCGUAAUUUUUCCGUGUGCAUGUGUGAAUCGUAGCUGCGUCAUUCGAAGAAUUUUAAAGAAAAUAAAAAAGUAUAAGAUUGCAAGUACACGGAACAGUCCAUUUUCAAGAAGCAGACACGAGUGGUUUAAUGAACAUCGUAAAUUGUUGAUCGGCAUUCGUGAAUUGUUGCUGCGCCAUUUGCAAUAAAUUUGUUAGAUGAUGGGAAAAAUCCGAUCUUCAGAUUAUCGUUGGAGGAAUGCUGCUUCUCAUCAUUGAUAUAAGUCUUCUGCGAAGCUUCCAGAUUCUUGACCACUUCAGAAAAC